RNAcentral lists this ribosomal RNA (279 nucleotides) under uncultured bacterium. RNAcentral's name for it is "partial 16S ribosomal RNA". It matches the Rfam family "Bacterial small subunit ribosomal RNA", at positions 506 to 784 of the family's 1533-position model. The record is from RNAcentral.
UGCCAGCAGCCGCGGUAAUACGAAGGGCCCGAGCGUUAUUCGGAAUCACUGGGCUUAAAGCGUACGCAGGCUGGUGUGCAGGCAUCUUGUGAAAUCCCUCCGCUCAACGGAGGGACUGCAGGGUGAACCGCACACCUUGAGACAGGUAGGGGUUGUCGGAACGCUAGGUGGAGUGGUGAAAUGCGUUGAUAUCUAGCGGAACGCCAAAGGAGAAAUCAGGCAACUGGGCCUGUUCUGACGCUCAUGUACGAAAGCGUGGGGAGCGAACGGGAUUAGAUA